Molecule: ribosomal RNA, 43 nt
Filed under: uncultured organism
Description: partial 16S ribosomal RNA
Source: RNAcentral
UGGUCUUGACAUCCCGAGAAUCCUGUGGAGAUGCAUGAGUGCC